This 156-nucleotide ribosomal RNA is filed under the name Tridacna crocea. Its description in RNAcentral is "5.8S ribosomal RNA". It matches the Rfam family "5.8S ribosomal RNA". From Rfam's summary of the family: 5.8S ribosomal RNA (5.8S rRNA) is a component of the large subunit of the eukaryotic ribosome. It is transcribed by RNA polymerase I as part of the 45S precursor that also contains 18S and 28S rRNA. Functionally, it is thought that 5.8S rRNA may be involved in ribosome translocation. Lineage: Eukaryota; Metazoa; Mollusca; Bivalvia; Cardiida; Cardiidae. The record is from RNAcentral.
GUGGAUCACUCNGCUCGUGUGUCGAUGAAGAGCGCANCUAGCUGCGAGAAGUAAUGUGAAUUGCAUAACCACAUUGAAACAUCACAUCUUGAACCGCACAUGGCGGGCUCCGGGUUACUUCGGAGGCCACGUCUGUCUGAGGGCCGCUUUGUAGUG